Molecule: ribosomal RNA, 402 nt
Filed under: Verrucomicrobiota bacterium
Lineage: Bacteria; Pseudomonadati; Verrucomicrobiota
Description: Verrucomicrobia bacterium partial 16S ribosomal RNA
Rfam family: Bacterial small subunit ribosomal RNA
Source: RNAcentral
UGGGGAAUUUUGCACAAUGGGGGAAACCCUGAUGCAGCGACGCCGCGUGAUUUAGAAGGCCUUCGGGUUGUAAAAAUCUUUUGUAUGGGAAGAAAAUGACAGUACCAUACGAAUAAGGACCGGCUAAUUACGUGCCAGCAGCCGCGGUAAUACGUAAGGUCCGAGCGUUGUCCGGAAUCAUUGGGCGUAAAGGGUACGUAGGCGGAUAAGCAAGUUAGAAGUGAAAUCCUAUAGCUCAACUAUAGUAAGCUUUUAAAACUGCUCAUCUUGAGGUAUGGAAGGGAAAGUGGGAUUCCUAGUGUAGCGGUGAAAUGCGCAGAUAUUAGGAGGAAUACCGGUGGCGAAGGCGACUUUCUGGCCAUAUACUGACGCUGAGGUACGAAAGCGUGGGUAGCAAACAGG